AAGUCGUAACAAGGUUUCCGUAGGUGAACCUGCGGAAGGAUCAUUAACACUUUUUCCAAAAAACUCCUUUUUCUUUUGGCUCAAACCAAAGAUUUAGGUUUUAACCCCAAUUUAUUGCGAACGAUGAUUUUCCAAAAUCAUUUUUCUCUUCUUUAUCCUCUUUUUAUUUUUACCCCAAAUUUUAACAAAAUCAAAGCCUGAUAUAAAAUCGUUUCUCUUUUGAAAAAAAAAAGAGGUAACGACCGAAACCUAAUGGUUAAAACAACUCUUAGCAACGGAUAUCUUGGCUCUC
This 292-nucleotide unclassified non-coding RNA is filed under the name fungal sp. RNAcentral's name for it is "partial internal transcribed spacer region". The stretch from base 1 to 46 matches the Rfam family "Eukaryotic small subunit ribosomal RNA", at positions 1786 to 1831 of the family's 1831-position model. Lineage: Eukaryota; Fungi. The record is from RNAcentral.